CCCCUGACCCAGCAGGAAGUUCAAUUUUUACAAACAGAUGAUACUUGAUUUAGCAUAACCUCUUUGGAGGCAAAGUUACUCCUUCAAAAAGCGAUCAGAAAUAUGAUCUGGCAGGGAACAUUGCUGUGAGCUCAGCAGAAUGUCUUAUCUGGACUCAGCAUUUCUGGCUGGGCACAGUUAAUAUCCCGUGGAAGUGCAGAGUCCUUCAGACAGACAAGGCUACACCCACUGCUAAAUCACAGAGACUCAGAAAUUAACUCCUCUCUCUGUGUGGGAAUACAGCGGGGCAAAGAAAUCCCUUACCUUGUGAACCAAUGCAGCUUCUGCCGAUGACAAUUCCAGAGUGGCUGCUGGGGGGGAAGAGUUGUGGGUGGCAUUCCUGGACUCCUCCAGGCUGGGAUGCCAAGCAGCUUCUGAUUCUGCCCACAGAAAGAUGUUUGCUGAUUUAUGCAAACUGCAGCUGCCUUUCAAACAAGCUACAGAUGUGUUCCAGAAUGCACUGGACAUCAGAAGAGAAUUUCAGUGGCAGCAGGUUUCCCAGCUGAUGAAGAGACAGAAUGCUGAGAAAAAGGAAUUUGCUUUUUGCAGGAGGGAGAAGGGCUCUGCUCCUCUGGGCCUUGCUUCCUGUGAUUCCUCUCUGCAAAUGGAGCUCAGCACAUGGCCUGCAUGAGGAAAAGCACCAUGAAUACCAAGUCAGCCCUGAGCUGCAAAGGAAUAGAAAAUGCAUUGGUUCUAGUUAAAAUCGAUUUUUGCCUUGGAACCACAGGGGGACUCAGUGGAUAUUCAGAGGAGGGAAAAGCUGAAUCAUGGGAUGGUUAAAGGUGGAAAAGCCCUGUAAGACCUUGGAGCCCAGCCAGUGCCUGACCCUGUCCCUGAGCAGCAUCUGAACACUCCCUGAACACCUCCAGGGAUGGAGACCCACCUGUGCCAGUGCCUGGCCACCACUUCCAGGGCAGAAACCUCUCCUGAGUCCACAAAAUCUGCACUGGGACUUUUUGCCCAGGAAGGAAAAUGUCCCCAGGGCUCCUUGGGGGUCUGAGAGGUCCCUGGGAGGUCACAGAGGAGGAGAGGUCUGUGCUGGUGCUGCCAGUUUAGCUACACACACUUAAUGGAAACAUGGAAAAUUUCCUGCAAAGCCCCUUAGGUGUGAGCUGUGAAAUACCAGCAAAGAACUAGAAAAACUGUGAGGCAUUGCAAGUGAGAGGGAAAAGGAACCUUAAAGAACUCAACUGAGGGCGAGUUGUGGACUCAGCUCUGACACAGAGCUUGGAAAGAACAUCCUCCAGCCCAAGAAAUCUCCUGCUGCUCUCAGCUGAGCACCCCUGUGUGUGCCACAGCACAGGGUGACACCGCUGUCACCCACAGCAGGGGCUGUGCUCCAGGGAAUUCGAGCUGUAAGAGUCUUCCCUCUGCAGAAUCUGCUGCUUCUCCACCUCCCAGCUGUUUUCUCCUUCGCUGUGGGUAUUGCAGGACUGCACAAUCUGGUUUAAAGCAUGGUAAAAGUCAUUAUCUUCCUAUUGUAAUUCCUAUUUUCUUUGGUAUUCUUUGUGAGGCUUCUGCAAAUCCAUCCCCUGCUUGGCUGCAGCCCUGUGGAAAUCACUGGUACAU
This is a long non-coding RNA of Passer domesticus (house sparrow), 1608 nucleotides long. RefSeq lists it as uncharacterized. The record is from RefSeq and is a predicted model, not a curated record. The transcript has 4 exons. NCBI's taxonomy places the organism in Eukaryota, Metazoa, Chordata, Aves, Passeriformes, Passeridae.